GGUAAAGGCCUACCAAGACAAUGAUGCAUAGCCGAGUUGAGAGACUGAUCGGCCACAUUGGGACUGAGACACGGCCCAAAUUCCUACGGGAGGCUGCAGUAGGGAAUCUUCCACAAUGGGCGAAAGCCUGAUGGAGCAACGCCGCGUGUGUGAUGAAGGCUUUCGGGUCGUAAAGCACUGUUGUAUGGGAAGAAAAGUUAAGGUAGGGAAUGACCUUAGCCUGACGGUACCAUACCAGAAAGGGACGGCUAAAUACGUGCCAGCAGCCGCGGUAAUACGUAUGUCCCGAGCGUUAUCCGGAUUUAUUGGGCGUAAAGCGAGCGCAGACGGUUGGUUAAGUCUGAUGUGAAAGCCCGGAGCUCAACUCCGGAAAGGCAUUGGAAACUGGUUAACUUGAGUGCAGUAGAGGUAAGUGGAACUCCAUGUGUAGCGGUGGAAUGCGUAGAUAUAUGGAAGAACACCAGCGGCGAAGGCGGCUUACUGGACUGUAACUGACGUUGAGGCUCGAAAGUGUGGGUAGCAAACAGGAUUAGAUACCCUGGUAGUCCACACCGUAAACGAUGAACACUAGGUGUUAGGAGGUUUCCGCCUCUUAGUGCCGAAGCUAACGCAUUAAGUGUUCCGCCUGGGGAGUACGACCGCAAGGUUGAAACUCAAAGGAAUUGACGGGGACCCGCACAAGCGGUGGAGCAUGUGGUUUAAUUCGAAGCAACGCGAAGAACCUUACCAGGUCUUGACAUCCUUUGAAGCUUUUAGAAAUAGAAGUGUUCUCUUCGGAGACAAAGUGACAGGUGGUGCAUGGUCGUCGUCAGCUCGUGUCGUGAGAUGUUGGGUUAAGUCCCGCAACGAGCGCAACCCUUAUUGUUAGUUGCCAGCAUUCAGAUGGGCACUCUAGCGAGACUGCCGGUGACAAACCGGAGGAAGGCGGGGACGACGUCAGAUCAUCAUGCCCCUUAUGACCUGGGCUACACACGUGCUACAAUGGCGUAUACAACGAGUUGCCAACCUGCGAAGGUGAGCUAAUCUCUUAAAGUACGUCUCAGUUCGGACUGCAGUCUGCAACUCGACUGCACGAAGUCGGAAUCGCUAGUAAUCGCGGAUCAGCACGCCGCGGUGAAUACGUUCCCGGGUCUUGUACACACCGCCCGUCACACCAUGGAAGUUUGUAAUGCCCAAAGCCGGUGGCCUAACCGUAAGGAGGGAACCGUCUAAGGC
This 1215-nucleotide ribosomal RNA is filed under the name Leuconostoc carnosum. Its description in RNAcentral is "bacterial SSU rRNA". It matches the Rfam family "Bacterial small subunit ribosomal RNA", at positions 256 to 1463 of the family's 1533-position model. The record is from RNAcentral. Lineage: Bacteria; Bacillati; Bacillota; Bacilli; Lactobacillales; Lactobacillaceae.